Molecule: long non-coding RNA, 687 nt
Organism: Cervus elaphus (red deer)
Lineage: Eukaryota; Metazoa; Chordata; Mammalia; Artiodactyla; Cervidae
Exons: 3
Source: RefSeq, a predicted model, not a curated record
CCCAUGGGGUCCCAAAGAGUCGGACACGACUGAGCGACUUUCACUUUCACUUGGCAUGCGGAAUCUUAGUUUCCUGACCAGGGAUUGAGCUGCGCCCCCUACAGUUUAAGUAUGGAGUUUUAACCACUGGACCCACCAGAGAAGUUCCUCUACCAACGCAUUUAAAACAGGCAAUAUGAAGACAACAAGGGGUUUUAAAAAGAAGAGUAAGAAGCAUCAGAUUUACGUCUUUAAAAGAUAAUUUUGAUUGCUACCUGGAAAAUAGAAAGAAAGGGCAAUAGUGACACCAUUUUUAGGGCCCACUGCUUUGGGAGCAUGGUAAACAAAAUAAGUCAGAAAGAGAAAGACAAAUACCAUAUGAUAUCACUUAUAUGUGGAAUCUAAGUAUGACACAAAUCAACAUGUCUAUGAAACAAAAACAGAGUCAGGUAUAGAGAGCAGACUGGUGGCAAUGGGGUUGGGUGGUGGGUAGGGAGGAGGGGAGGGAAGGCAUGGGUGUUGUGGAUCAGCAGAGGCAAAGUAUAUACAGGCUGGAAGAAUAACGAGGUCCUACUGUGCACGCUCAGUCUCUCAACCGCGACCGACUCUGCAACCAGUGAACUGCAGCCUGCCAGGCUCCUCUGUCCAUGGGAUUUUUCUGGCAAGAAUACUGGUGUAGGCUGCUAUUUCCUUUUCCAGAGGGAUAUU